This 1359-nucleotide ribosomal RNA is filed under the name uncultured organism. Its description in RNAcentral is "16S ribosomal RNA". It matches the Rfam family "Bacterial small subunit ribosomal RNA", at positions 93 to 1422 of the family's 1533-position model. The record is from RNAcentral.
GAGUGGCGCACGGGUGAGUAACGCGUGGGUAAUCUGCCUUCGAACCGGGGAUAACACUUCGAAAGGGGUGCUAAUACCGGAUGACAUCCAAGUGUCUUCGGGCGCCUGGAUCAAAGAUGGCCUCUCCAUGGAAGCUGUUGUUCGAAGAUGAGCCCGCGUCCCAUUAGCUUGUUGGUGGGGUAAAGGCCCACCAAGGCGACGAUGGGUAGCUGGUCUGAGAGGAUGAUCAGCCACACUGGCACUGACACACGGGCCAGACUCCUACGGGAGGCAGCAGUGAGGAAUUUUGCGCAAUGGGGGUAACCCUGACGCAGCAACGCCGCGUGAGUGAAGAAGGCCUUCGGGUCGUAAAGCUCUGUCGAGUGGGAAGAACCCGCAUCAGGUGACAAGGCUGAUGCGCUGACGGUACCACUGGAGGAAGCACCGGCUAACUCCGUGCCAGCAGCCGCGGUAAUACGGAGGGUGCAAGCGUUAUUCGGAAUUACUGGGCGUAAAGGGCGCGCAGGCGGCCUGGUAAGUCAGUAGUGAAAGCCCGGGGCUCAACCCCGGAAGUGCUGCUGAAACUGUUGGGCUUGAGUAUGGUAGAGGGAAGCGGAAUUCCUGGUGUAGCGGUGAAAUGCGUAGAUAUCAGGAGGAACACCGGUGGCGAAGGCGGCUUCCUGGACCAAUACUGACGCUGAGGCGCGAAGGCGUGGGUAGCAAACAGGAUUAGAUACCCUGGUAGUCCACGCAGUUAACCGGUGAUCACUAGGUGUUGCGGGUAUUGAUACUUGCAGUGCCGGGAGCUAACGCAUUAAGUGAUGCUCCUGGUGAGUGCGGCGGCAAGGUUAAUACUCUAAGGAAUUGUCGGGGGCCCGCACAAGCGGUGGAGCAUGUGGUUUAUUUUGACGCAACGCGAAGAACCUUGCGUGGGUUUGUCAUCUGGGGGAUCCCAUGGAAACAUGAGGGGUUCCCUUCGGGGAGCCCCAAGACAGGUGCUGCAUGGCUGUCGUCAGCUCGAUGUCGUGAGAUGUUGGGUUAAGUCGCGCAACGAGCGCAACCCCUGUCUUCAGUUACCAGCGAUUCGGUGGGGGACUCUGAAGAUACUGCCCCGCUUAACGGGGAGGAAGGUGGGGAUGACGUCAAGUCCUCAUGGCCUUUAUGCCCAGGGCUACACACGUGCUACAAUGGGCGGUACAGAGGGUAGCGAGAUCGCGAGGUGGAGCCAAUCCCAAAAAGCCGUCCUCAGUUCGGAUUGGAGUCUGCAACUCGACUCCAUGAAGUUGGAAUCGCUAGUAAUCGCGGAUCAGCUAUGCCGCGGUGUAUACGUCCCGGGCCUGUACUACACCGCCCGUCACACCAUGAGAGUUGGCUAUACCC